RNAcentral lists this small RNA (5675 nucleotides) under Pongo abelii (Sumatran orangutan). Its description in RNAcentral is "retained intron". Lineage: Eukaryota; Metazoa; Chordata; Mammalia; Primates; Hominidae. The record is from RNAcentral.
UGGGAAGUGCUGCUCUAACUGGUCAGCCAUUGAGCUCCAAAGAUAGCCCCAAUGCAAGUCGAUGAACUGGCCCCCAGCAGACGGGCAGGGGCUUCAGUCUUGCCCUCCAGGGAGUCUCCCCACAUGGCAGCAUCUCUACUGUUCACAGCUCUCCCCCUCUUACCCAUGACCCUUUCACUGAGACACUGCAGCCCACCACCAUUCACGGUCACGAUGUCACACCAGGGCACUCCUCACACUCUCCAGAGCCCCUCCACCCAGGGUAACUCACCACGUAGGAGGGAGAGGAGCCCACUUCAUGUGGGAAGACGUGGAGACAGGAGAAAAGUGCACCUAAGCUGGCAUCUGGCAGAGCCAGGGCUCCAGCAGACAUCUCUCAAGUCCGGGUCUUGAAGAGAGAGUCGUGGUAGGAUGGAUCUUUCCAGAAGCGGUGGGUGGGCCGUUCACAUCCACGUGAAUGGGCCCAAAAGGCAAGAGACCCACACCUCUCUUCCCCUCCCCAGUGGCUGUGGCUUUCCUAGGGACAAUAGGAUGAAUGGGCUUUCAGUGUGGGGACAGCAAAAUACGCACUAGGGCCCAGAGUGGCAGUUGUUCUCUUGGUGUGGAGAGUGCCUGCCACGGGCCUUGGCCAGAGCCUGUGAGGGAGUGGUGUGUGAAAGGCCACCUCCACGUGGGUAAGCGUGAGGACUUGGACUUCCAGCACUGAGAUGGGACCUCCUGCCUGUGGGAGUCAUCUGGCAACCUCCCUGGGGCCAGGAAAGGUUGGAGCUAGAAGGGUUGUCCUCCCUGACUUGAGCUCUGAGGGCUUUGCCUGCCGAGCCAGAGCGGCAAGGCACAGGGGACCCUCGGGGACGCCCAUGGCCACCCUGGGGAAGACAGGGCUCCUCGCGCGUUCUGCUUUAAUAAGGCCCGUGUGUCCUACCAGUGAGCCUCUCACAUGAAAGGGGCUAAAAAUAGCACAGGGUACCCCAGCUCCUUCCGCAACAAAACUGUCCACUGGGUGGGUGCUGGACAGUGCUGCCUCAGGAAGGUGAGCGCAGCCCACACUGGCCACACAAGCCACGCCCUGCUGUCUCGGUUUCCAGGUGAUCUCAAACCCUGAGUGCCCUACGUAGCUACAGGGGUUCCGGUUACUGAAAGGGGCCACCUGGGAAGGAUCCUGCCCUGCUCUUGUCCAUUUACCCAAAAAGCCAAAGGCUGCCAGGUGGCUCAGAGGAUCCUCUCCUCCAGGUGUGCUCCCUCCCACCUGCUGAAGCUGAGGCACUGGAGAUGUUGCCUGGCACGUUCUACCCAGGUGACAGGACCCCACUCUGUCCCUGUCUCCGUGCCCUCUUCAAGGGACCCCUUCCAAGUGCCUCAGUGGCCACCCUCCCGAGGGUCCCCCUGGCCCUGUCCCCCAGCACAAGCAGGUCCCCCAGCUCCUCUGUCCCAGUUCAGGUGAGUGGGCUGACGUGGUGUGCUCUGGUGUCUCCAACUUUGCUCUGGCUCCUUUCUCCCCCUCCCCCACCCUGGCAUGGCAAAUCAUUUGUUCACUGCCAGUGCAUCUGCCACUAGACACUCCGGCAUGGUUUGGGCGUCUCCCUCGCCUUCCUUGGUGAUCUGCAGCCAGCUGCCCUGACUCAGUGACCUGCCUUGUGAUGGUUUUCUCUGUGUUGCUGUUUCAGAAGCCCGGAGAUCAUGAGCACCAUCUCAGGUACACGGAGCACGACGGUCACCUUCACUGUUCGCCCCGGCACCUCCCAGCCCAUCACCCUGCAGAGCCGGCCCCCCGACUAUGAAAGCAGGACCUCAGGAACAAGACGUGCCCCAAGCCCUGUGGUCUCGCCAACAGAGAUGAACAAAGAGACCCUGCCCGCCCCCCUGUCUGCUGCCACCGCCUCUCCUUCUCCCACUCUCUCAGAUGUCUUUAGCCUUCCAAGCCAGCCCCCUUCUGGGGAUCUAUUUGGCUUGAACCCAGCGGGACGCAGUAGGUCGCCAUCCCCCUCGAUACUGCAACAGCCAAUCUCAAAUAAGCCUUUUACAACUAAACCUGUCCACCUGUGGACUAAACCAGAUGUGGCCGAUUGGCUGGAAAGUCUAAACUUGGGUGAACAUAAAGAGGCCUUCAUGGACAAUGAGAUCGAUGGCAGUCACUUACCAAACCUGCAGAAGGAGGACCUCAUCGAUCUUGGGGUGACUCGAGUCGGGCACAGAAUGAACAUAGAAAGGGCUUUGAAACAGCUGCUGGACAGAUAAGGACGGCUGCUCUCCACCUCGCAGACUGCUCUUGUUAUAAGUAGAGAUGGGCUCGUGCUGAAACAUCUGAAUGCCAAGCGAAGUCUGUGAGCAUCAACCCCACUCCAUGGGUUUGUCUCCUGGUACCCAAAGAAAUACUGAGUUGUGUCCACAACAUGGCUGGGUCUUCAGACCCCUGGCUCACCAUGUGGGUGUCUUGGGCAGUUUCUAUCAAACAUGGGACAAGGGGAGAGAGUUUUUCUAACAUGGAAAAAGAUUCCCAGCCUGCCGCCCAGCAUGCACGUGGCCUCGCUUUGCCGGGUCCGAGAGGCUCCCCGUCAAUUUUGCACGGGAUCCUAGCUCUUGUAGGCAGACACCAGUGCACUCUAGAUACCUCCUGAGACCUCCGUCCUCUGCUUUCCGGGCAGCUCUCACCACCCCAGGCCCCGGCACGAGGCCUUUCCUCAGUCCUGUGGCCUCUCGGAGGACACCUGAUGCUCACCUGUCCCUCUUUCUCCUGCACUUGGCUUGCAGUGAGAUGCUCCCAGACGCAUUGUCCAGUGCCCCAUCAUGGGCCUGAAAGGCAGAGAAACUUCUUCCUACACAGAUUCUUUUCCCCAUCUCCUCCUGUGGUUUGCAUCCAUGGCUCCUUGGCCAUGAGGUUCCUGGCAGUGCUGGGAGUUUGGAUGGGAUCGUGCCCGGCUUUGCUUAGCUUUCUUUAUUUCUGCAAAUCUGUUAGCAUAAUUCCAAGGUGGCCAAGCAGAUGUCACAUGGAGUUAGUCAAAGCACAAAGUCACGAUUCCACAAUGGAGGGGAGACCUGGCCAAGGGAGCCAGCCAGCGUGCAGCUGCCCAAGCUCCAGGUCUCCAGGACAAGAGCAGUUGUCUGCCAGGAGCACCCAUCCAGGAUGGAGAAUAAGGGCUUCUCUGCCUCUCAGAAUUCUUUUUAAUUGAAGAUGUCUUGAGCUCUGCAAAGAUCAGAGCAGGUGAGCAUCCACUUUGACAUGAAGGACAAGAAGACGCAUGGCUCAUGGCAGACACACGCAGCUGCCAGUGAGACAGCGUCUCCUCUGGGAGCUGGGCGGGCACAGCAUCCUCAGUUCUGUGCCCAGCCAAGGGUGAGCAUCUCUGCUGAGACAGUCCUUUUGCUCUCGGAGGCCAGGGAAGAUGGUACUUAGAGGCUUUUCCCCAUCGCUCUGGGUGUCUAGGAAUCCCACCAGCUUGUCUUAACAGUACAACAGCUUCUUUGAGGACCCAGUGGGUAUGGAGUAGAGACAGAACCCAGGGUUGAGAACAGAAGGUGGGCGGCAGGAUCAGAGUGAAAGCAGAGGCGUGAGGAGAGGAAAGCAGGGAGGUCUCCUGGGCUGCCAGGUCAGCCUCUCUGGCAAGGCUUUCUUGAGCCCCGCCCCUUUCUUUCCCCGGAGUCCCUCCACCCCAUAACAAUACCUCGAAUUUCCAAAAGAGGUCACCAGACGCACAUGGGCCGCAACACACACAGUCAGGCUUCCAGCACAUUCUCCCCCAUUUGGAGGAUACUCGAAUGUCAGGUUUUUGGUUUUAUUAUGAUUUCAGAACUAGCUCAGCCCAUCUCUAAUUAUAAAACAUGGUUUUGUUUUGUUUUGUUUUUUCCUUUUUUUCUUGAUUAGGUCUGGAACAGCUCUAGAAUGAACACAUAAAAUUUAGCAAUUUAAAAUCUCUUUCUUUACUGCAAGUUUAAAUAGUUGUACAGAUAGUUUAUAAGCACAAUAUUUUAAGAAAAAAAAGUGGCUGGUCUACUAGGCAGCCUUUGUGCCACUUCAGUGCUAGAAAGUUAAAGAAAAAAAAAACUUUUGUGAUUUAAUAAUACUAUUUCUGUGGAAUAAUUAUAAAAGUAUGACCUUUUUAAAUCAACCUUAUUUGGAUGCAUCUGAACCAGCAGAGCUGUGUUAUAUUUUCUAUCUUUGCUAGAACUUCGUCAUUGAAGGACAAUUUCUUCAAAGUGGUUACAAUUCAUAAUGCAGCAGUUUCUCCAAAAACAAAAACAAAACACACACCACACACACGUGCUUUUCCAGUCACACACUCCUGAUCUGGAAACCAAGUUUUUGGACCUUCUGUUCCAAAACCUUUUGCAGGUCAACCUUUGUAUUUGAAAUUAUCCAAUCCAACUUGAAAUCAAUUGAAUAUUAAGGCGCUUUACUUCCGUGUGCUUUCAGUUUUUCCAUCAUGAGAUGAAUGAGCAUUACUCUAGAUAAAUUUCAAGACAGGAUACUAUAGGUGGCCUGCUGAGGCUGCCCCAUAUUUUAGAAAAUGUAAAAAUGGUGGUUUGGCCAUUAAUUUGUCUUCCAUUUGAUGAUACCGCAAAAUUCCGUGAAUCCAUUCCUUUGGCAUGGCGCUUUCCCUGGGCCUACAGUUGGUAUUACCUCUGUGCUCAGUGCCAGGCAAAACACUAGCUCAAAGGAGAGUCAAGGAAACCGCUGGCAGACGAUAACCAGUCGCAACUCGGUGACUUCGGUUUGUUGAACUUUGGCAGCCAGUUGGUGAGGGCCAGAUGUUAUUCCCUUUCUUAAAGAUACUCCAAGCCACAUGCCACUAACCACAAGCAAGCUGGCUGCAAGACUAAAGAGUGGAUAACAUAGUUUAUUUUUACAUUGUCUUAUUAUAGAGAAGUAAUAGACCUAUCAGAACCUGCACUGACCAACAAAUAAACACAUGUUGCCAAGAUGAAUCGGUCUCUAUCUCUAUUUGCUUAUUUUGGUACUGAAAGCAAUAGUUCCUCAUUCAAAUCACCACCCACUGUUCUCCCCCUUUGGGACAUGUUAGGACCAGGCCCUAUUCCAUGCCCCUCUUUAAUGGUGGAACAAAUGUUAAACUGCUCAUCUAAAGAUCAUGUUGAUAUUAUUCCAGGUUUUAAGAUCAACUUUUGUUACAUACUGUAAUUUAAAUAAACUGCAUUUACAUGCCUAGUUUCUGUAAUAUUGUGUAUACAAAACCCAAAUCUCUCAAAAUGUAAAUUAUGUAUACCUGCCAAGAUACCUUUUCCAGGGUGUCUGCGCACAUUUUAAGUUAAUUCACAUAAUAUAAAAAUUACUCAAUGUGACUGUUGAUUUGCUGAACUUUACAUAUCACAAAGUGAAUUAUUUGUGAUACUUUAGUUAAUAAAAUGGUAAAUUUUUUUCUCAGUUAUUGAACAAGCAAGCAUUAUCCAGUUGAUCUGGCAAUGACUUUUUGUGUGUGGGCCACAAUAUUGAUUUUCCCAUUAACAAUUUUUUUUUUGUUUUUUAAAUACUAAUAUGUUUCACACUAUAGUUUGUGUAACAACACGUGUUCGCAUUAUCUAUGUUGCUGUUACUUUUGUGCUUUUAUUCUUUUUAGACUUUAUAAAAAAAAAAAGCUCCUGUAAUUUGCACUUUCUCCCAAUCCUUAAAUCUCUUGUAUGGCAACCAAAAUUACUGUAAAAAAAUAAAUAUACUAUUGCACUAA